Oryctolagus cuniculus (rabbit) is the source of this 8761-nucleotide non-coding RNA. NCBI's taxonomy places the organism in Eukaryota, Metazoa, Chordata, Mammalia, Lagomorpha, Leporidae. The record is from RefSeq and is a predicted model, not a curated record.
AGGCAGAGAGGCCUCCGUGGCCAGGGAGCCGCGGGCAAGGGGCGCAGGGGAGGGGGGCCAGGUGCCAGCCACUUAAAAAUGUCCCUGUGGCAGUGUGGGGUGCCAGAAGCUGGCUCAAGUGAGUUAAGAAGCAGUGACACCCCUAACCUUCCCCCAGACAGGCCGGCCCCCACCUUCAGGCCCCCCAGGAACCCCACCUGGACCAGACUCCUGGAGAGGCAGGGGCACUGGCUGGUGGACCCGGACUUGGAGAGGCAACAAGCCCAGAGAGGGGGCCUCCUGGGGACCAGCGGAGGGCAGGUAGCCCCGGAGACAGACGCGUGAGUGCCCCCGACACCCUGUGCCUACCUCCAUCCCACCUGCCCCACGGCCAUGCUGCAAGGAGCCUCCGCAGUGUCCCGAGUCCCUGAGAACACGCUCUCCGACCCGCAGAAGGGCCACACCACCAGGGCUUGCAGAGGAGGCGGGGGAGGGUAUGGAAGGAAGCCCCCCUAAUGAGUAGGGGGAGGGAAGGCAGUUCAAGGAGGCUGGCAGAAGAAAUGAGCUCCUAAAGAAGGGAAAACCAGCCAGCAGCCAAGCACCCUCCCCGCCCUGUCUGCCGACAGGACAGCGGUGCCAGGCCGCGUGAUCAGGUCAAGAAUGGAUUGAAAAACUAGGGAACAAACAGCAAUCUUCCCUAGAAAGGAGGAAAUGGAAGGAAGACCUGGGCUGUGUGUCCUUGGCCAAGUCACUCAGCCUCUCUGAGCACUGGGCUGAUAAACCAGCUCAUGGGGCUCUGAGAGCGCUCCUCCCAGGGAGGCUGAGAAAGGCAACCACUGUUUUCACAGUCCAUCAAGUUCCAGCGUCCAUAGGCACUUUCUGUUAGUGGCAAAGGAGGCAGGCUGAGGGACUGACCCAUAAGCCAGGUGGGCAGACUGAGGCCCAGGAGACUGAAGGAACUCACCGAGUUGCAGGGCGGCCAGCUGUGGUCAGAGGCACUGGACCUCGUGUGGGUGGAAAGAGCGCAGGGAGAGCUGGAAGUGAGCAGAGGGGAAGGGAGGGGAAGGUGGGGUUCCGGAGACGUGGGACAAGGCCCAGGCCUGUCUUGCAUAACACGGCCCACCUGUUCACCCCGGCACACCCCACACAUGUGUGCAAACGUGCACCCCAGCACAGCGCACACCCGGUCACCACUCACUAGCACAUGAGCCUCGGAGACUGGAUCUAAACAAAUUGGAUUAGCAGGGCUGCAGGCGCCUCCUCCCCCGCCCAUCCGGCUGCUAGGACACUAAGCAGGCCUGCAGAGCUGCCAGCUGCGGUCUCUCGGCCCUGCUGACAGUCAGGGCCUGGCUCCCUCCCCCAGCCCGGGCCCCAGGAAGCAGGCCGGGGUCCGAGAGGAUGCUGCGAUGAUGGAUGGGGUGAAGGCGGCUCCAGGGCUAGCUCGAGAGCAGACAGGAUGUUAGUGCUUUGGGGAGGCCCGAUUCUGAGCAGUUACCAGCAACUGACCCCCACUGCCCCUCUCACCCUCCCUUCCUGCAGCCUCUCCCACAGAGAGGCUGUGGCUGACCAGAGCCGGGGCCCAGGCCCCAGCACAUCCACCCUCGAAGCUGCGCUGAGCAGGGGGAGGCCAGCUCGGAAGACAUCAGCCUCAAGAUGAGACCAGGCAGGCACCUUAGAGGGCGGAAGCACUUGUGAGCCUUCUGAAAGGUGGCAUCCCUGAGCUUGCUCAUCCAGCAUUUGGCUGAAUCCUCUGAACGUGUCAGGGAGUUGGGUGCCCACAGCACUGAUGGGACUACUGAGACCUGUCCAUUCAGUGAUUCCGCAGCACCCCUUUCUUGAGACCUGAGCCAGCGCCAGGCCCAGUGCAAUGCGCUGGGGACACUGAGAUGAUGCACGGACAGCCCCGGCUCCCACGGGUUCACCGAGUGGUCUCCUGAGGGCUGGGUCACAGGGCCUCCCUGUUCCUUUCUCCAUAAAGCACAAGGCAGUGGCUGGAUAGGGCCACCAAGAAGAGCCUCAGCCACCAGCCCGGCCAGAACACAGGCCCUGACGUCACACGGCCCUGAGUUCAAAUCCUGCCUCGCCCCCUCUUCAGCUGUCUUUUCGGCGACUUGGCCUCUUGUAGUUCUGCAACAUGGGAGCACAGGGCUCCCCCCUCAUAGAGCUGAUUUCUUUUUUCCACACCCCCAAUUGACAGAGGGAGACACAGAGGCCCAGAGGGAAAAGUGGCUUGGCCCGGAUCACACCUUGAGCCGCAGGUGAACAGGACCAGGUGGGUCCCCGCCUCUUGGCUGCUCCUCCCCAUCCCUUACUGGCCUCGACCUCCUCCUUCCUUCUCUACCCUGAGUAGCCCCAUGGGCCAGGGUGGCCAGCGUGUGCAGGUGAUCACAGACAGGUCCCAGGUGCUAGCUGGGCCCCCGUGGCAGCGGAGCCGCAGGUGAGCAGAGGUGGCUUCCAGCCCCUGAGUCGCGGGCAGGGUGGGGGAGCGCACACAGGCUCCCAGCCCUGAGCAGCCUGGCCAUAUAAGGGAAGGCGCUCAGGGAGGCCUGGCCCAGACGCCGAGAAAGCCCAGACAGCCACUGCUUAUUUCUCCUUCCCGGCCUCCCUUCACCCAGCCCUCCCUGGAGUUCCCCACAGCAGACAGAGGUCCCCCGGCGCAGAGAUGUUUGCUGACGGCUCGCCAAGGAGGGAGAAGCGCUCGCCCUGCCGGGAGCUGGCUCCCGAGCUGCCAACAGCCGGCAUUCAGAGCCACCACCAGGUAAGCUGCCCAGGCCGCCUGCUUCAGCUGCCUGCUUUCCCAGAGGGGGAGACAGGGCCCUAGAGAGGAGGGGCCUGCUGACAGCAACUACCCAGAUGGCUGACGGAACCCCGGAGGCCCCCUCAACUCCCGCACGGGAAGGAGGGCCUCGCUGGACAGGGCUGGGGCCAGGACAAUGCCGUCUGCUGGCCCAGCAGCUGCCUAAGACAGAGAAUCUGCCCAUUCCUCUCAGCCCAGCCAUACCACUUCCUCCUCCAGGAAGACCUCCUAGCCACACCCAAGGGCAGGAACCUCUUUGUCCUCCAAGCCUGGGCCUUCCUUUCUUGGUCCCAUUUGGAUCUGCCCCUUUCCACCUUGCCAGGGGUGUUUCCUUCUACCUGGGGAAGGAUGGCCUCAGAUGCAGCCCCUCGCCACUCAGCACAUAGCCAAGGCCUGUCCCAAACCGAGAGCACUGGGAGAGGGGUCGGGGGCAAGACAUCUGGCACAGAGGUGAACGCGAGGGUCCUGGGGUCUGCCCUACUGGGUCAGUACUCCUGGCGUGAUUCCUCACAAUGGUCACUUGGCCAAUUUUCCUCCCAUGGAGCCUUGGGGAUGCACAGGAUUUGCACGUUCAAAACAUCCAAGAAGUAGCCUCUCCUAGACAGUCAUCGUCCUAUUCUAGAGACAAAGGAUCAGAACUGGGAGGCUAGAGGAGGGGCAGCAGACGGACGCGGAAGCAGAGAAAGGCCGCUGGGCAAGGCCGCCUCUCAGCCCCCCUCCCCCGUGCCAGCUUCUCCCAGGCGCGAGUGGGACUGACCCCUUGCAGUUCCUGUGUCUAAGCCCAGAAGAGACGGUGUCUGUGCAGUCGUCCCAGCACACAGGUGUACUACAGCCUGCCCUUGAUGCCCCUGGCUGGAGGCCAGGCUCUCUUUCCUGGCCCCUCCCCUUCCUGGCCGCCCAUGUGGAUGCGGUAAGCAGCCUCGCCCGGCCUCUCGUGCUGCCCUCCAGACUAAAUGGGAUCAGCCACUGUGUGCCAGAUUCAGUCGUUCGGACGCUUGCUUUUUCGUUUUUGCCAUCUCUGCGUGCAGUCCUAGUCUUAAAUGGAAGGUGAGUCCUUCAUAAUACUUAACGAGACACAGCCACUCUUAGGCGGAAAACCAUAGCACUUUCCAUCAAUAGGAGAUAAAAGUCAAAAUAAACAUAGUAAAAAUGAAACAACCUGGUUACACUUUAACCUGACAGCCCUGGGCCUGAGGCUGGCGCAAGCAGGAGGGAGACAGGUGUCAGUGGGAGAUGGCGUCCAGGCUUCCUCCUCCCUGUAAACAGAAGGGCUGGCAGCAAAUCAGCAGGGGGACAACCCAAGUCACUCCGUGUCCCCAAGUGAGUUAGGGCUGAAGCCGCAUCUCCCAAACUCACUCACCACACCUGCUGUGCCCCAGGAAAGCAGAGGUAGUGCGGGUGGUGUCGGGGCGCCAGGUGAGACACGACGGCCCUCAGUGGGGUUCCUGGCUUCUCACUGGAAGCUCCUCAGGCUGUGGACUCCACUCCCACGCCUGGGGGAGCCAUGCAGAAUCCGAAUCACCCCCCAGCCAAACGCGACUGGAAAGAGCACUUGCAGAGGGUCCCAGGUAAGGGGAAGGCAGCCAGCCCCGUGCCUAGGAACUAGAGAGGAAGCAGCUGCCGCGGUGCGGAGGUCCCCUGCCCCAGUGCUUCCUGCUCGUCCCCAAUUCAACCUGGGGCCUGAUCUCGCAUUCCACCCAGAGAGGUGUGUGUGUGUCUUCUACUCAGUCCCAGUCCAGGGAGAGGCUGCCCACUCCCUUCACACAUCCCUGAAAGUGGGUCACCAUCAAGGCCACAGGGGGCUCCGCUGCACUGCCUGGGACCUCGGCUGGAGUGGGGUCGUGGCAGGAAAGGGAAGAGGGGCCUUGCCUCCUCCCCCAGAGCUCCAACCCGGGGCUUGAGGAGGAAUCGACUCGUCCACACAGUCACUAAAUCAGCCAUAAAUGGCUUUCCCUGUGGCCCACCAUAACCUACAAGCCCAUCAACAAGGCCCAGGGCUCCCUGAUGAACAGAUGAGGGCAGUGUCCUUGGCACUGGCUGGAGAUCCAACCAGGCCAGACCCAGCCGUGAACAAUCCUGUACUGGUGAGAAGAGACCGAGUCCACUCGACCGCUCAGCAUCCGCCUGCCGGGCCCUGAGCUCUGAGAUGCGUGCACUUGGCAGGGUCCCCUCCCUCACAGGUGGGCCAUGCGGUCCACAAGUGCAGCGGUCAUCAGUGACAGUUACCUUUCGGGGGUGGUCAAGGGUUCCAAAGAGGGCACGGGAUGAGUACGAGUGAGCAGGGAGUGGGGAACACUGAACUGCCGGGGGAGGCCUUCGCUGCCAGGGCAGCAGCACAGCACCUGUGGAUCCGGGUGGGUGAGCACAGGGCUCCCAGAGUGACGGAAGGGUGUCUCUGGGGGUGGGUGCAGCCAGAGCAGGGGCGUGGCCACUGGGGCCAGAGGCACAAUCGGCAGGCCUUGGUGAGGGCCAUCAGAGCCCUUCUGGGAUUGUGAGUCUGGGAAGGCUCACCCUAGGGGCAGGCAUCCAGCCUUGCAACUGAGCUGCCCGCAUCCCAUAUCACAGCAGCUGGGGUGAAUUCCUGGCUUUAGCUCCUGCCUCCACCUCGCUGCUAACGUGCACACUGGGAGGCAGCCACGGAUGGCUCAAGCAGUUGGGUCCCUGCCACCCACAUGGGAGACCUGGAGCUCCCAGCUUUGGCCUUGACCCAGACCGGGUUGUGGCAAGCUCUCUAUCUCUGGCUACAUCUUUCUGCCUCUCAAAAAAAUUUUUUUUAAAAAUCACUCUAGAAGGUUGAGAGGGAAAAGGGGAGGAGUGAGAAACAGAGAGACAUGGUGGAGGCAGCUGUUCAUCGAUACAUAAAGUCAAGUCCCUCUCUGCCUGCAGGGCGUAAGCACAAGUGACUGUGCCAUCAGGGUCGGAUCAGACAGAUCUAGAGACAGACAGCGCCUGCCCAGGCCCAGGACAAGGCAGGAGGAAAUACUCUGACACUGACUGCCGAGGCUUGCACAACCUCAUGGAUGUAUGGAAAACCAGUUAAUGGAGCACCUUAAAUGUGUGAUUCUAUCUUUCCAAAUCUGUAGGGGAUGCAGUGGAAAGGGAGGUGGAGGUUUGGGCCCAGAGAGCUCAGGUGACAGUCCCAGGACAGGAGAAGAAGCUCCUGGGCAGAGCCGGAGAAGAAGCCGGGGUGCCCUCUGAAACCCCUUCUCCCGCGCAGGGCUGAGCCCACCGCAGCGGCCCACAAGGAGCAGUGGAGCAGCGGGGCCGUGUCUCCCAGCCUGAGGUGCAGUGCUGCAUCUCUGGUCAGUUGGGAGUCUGAGAUGAAGCACUGUAGCUCGGGAAGGGAGAAGUUGUUCUCCAGCCAGCGACCUGAGCGGUGAGUUGUGGGACUCGGGGUGGGGACCAGGAAGGACGCACGGCGGAGCUUCCAGGCUCUGCACUGCCCACCACUCGCGGUGCUGGGCCCAAGGUCUCUGCACGCCGCCACCUGCUUGGUCACUCCAGGCGAGUGCUGACUCCCCUGUGUGCCCCAUUGUCCUCUGGUCAGCACCAUGCCCACCCCCGGCCCCUGAGCCUGUGGCAAACACUGCUGCCACUGCGUGCAUUCUUGAAACUUUCAGAUACAGCUUCAGAAUCCUUCUCAACACUGAGUCCUGGGCAGCCACGCUGAGUGAGUCACCGCUGAGAUCCACUCAGCAUUUGUGAUUCUCACGAUUCCUAAAAAUCCUUUCGGCUCCCAAAACAAAAAAGCGCUGGGCUUCGAGUCACAGUGUCCAGACUCUGAGCUGCCAGCCGUGGCUCUGGCUGUUGCCUGCGUCCGUCCAGGCCUCACAAAUAUCUGCUCCAUCCCGGAGGCAUCAUAACAAGCGACAGACAGCAGAGGAGGCUGACUGAGCUCAGCUCGGUUCUACCUAAAGCCCCACAAGCUUGGGAGGCAGCCAGUGUAAUUGGCCCAUUUUCCAGAUGAUGAAACUGGGGCUCAGUUAAGUGCCUUGCCCAGGGGGACAUAUCGUACCCUAACCUCUGUGCCUCCUGGGACAGAGAGAAGGAGGGAGAAAUAAGAAGUCCUCCUCUGGUCCUGCCUUUAUUUCAAAGACAAACCCAGAUGGUUGCCAUUAGUCCUAUGAAUGCCCUUCCUGCUCCCCCCUCCAUCUCUUAUCUAUCUCACCUGUCCAGGAGGGCCCACACUCUCCCAUUUCACAGCUAAGGAACACCAAGGCUCCAAGGUUAAGUGACGUGCUUGAGAUCACCAGCGGGGAACUUGCCAGCCAGACCCUGGGAACUGGAUCUGCCCAGCUGGCUUCCCGCCAUCCCGCUGGCUGGAGACCCAGGGAACACACGUGACCCAGGGCAGUCGUAGGAGACAGGGGCCGGGGGCUGGAGUGCCAGAUGGCCCCGGCGCAGACAGCAUCACCACGUCUGGCCUUUGACUACUGGGGAGGUACUUUCCAGGGCAUCUGAGGUUCCCGUCACUGCUCCUCCGGAGCGAGGCGCCGCAGCCUGUGAGAUGUGGCACCCGCGCUGCUGGAAGAAGACUCCAGCUGGGCCCUGGGGACACGUGGGCCUGGGGGUCCACGGCCACGCUUGCCCACCUUGUCCUCGGGGUCCAGUUUUCCCAGGAAUCCCUUAGAUGCUAAGAUGGGGAUUCCUGGAAAUACUGUUCUUGAGGUCAUGGUUUCACAGCUGGCCCAGCGUUGCCGGGGGGCCUCGGCUCAGCCUGGACGCAGGGGAAGGAGACGGCCGUGCACCCGAGGUAAGAGCUUCCGAGCUGUGCCCGUGACCUUUACGCUGCUUUUCUCCGCAUUGUGUCCGUUCCAUAACCUCCCUGAGAGGCUGGCUGUGGGAGGCGCGUCCAGCGUCCCUGAGCAUGGCCGGCCCCGGGGAGCCAGGACCCCUCCCGGCACAUGCUUCCAGGCCUCGAGGAGUGCAGUCCACAUUCCUGAAAGACACGGGUCAACUAAACUCUAAAAAUCCCAGAGGUGAGCGCGAACCGCCAGUGUCAGUUCAACUGAAGACCCAGCCACACGAACGUGCACAGUGCUCACCAGGGCGGGGCACAGAAAGUACAGAGGCUCCCUGCCCUGCCUCUGCCUGCUCUCCAGCCAAGAUGGCUGCCACAACGACCUCGCACCCCGAGCGGAGCACAGCCGAGGCUGGCUGUGUGUGUGUACGUGCAGGCAUGCACUCACACAGACACAUGUCUACACACAUGCACACUCAUGCACACAGGCACACACACACACCAAGAUUCCAUGGUCUAGUCAUUUUUGAACCAGCGCCAGCACCCAGCAUGUCUGCCAUCUCCUUACCAGCAGGGCUGCCACCGUCUGGCUCAUCCUCCAAGCCCUGCUAAGCUCACAGGGACUGGUGAGCCUCAGAGGUGAAGAGACCAGGCCCGAAAUCACCCAGACAGCAACAGGCAGAGCCACGAUGAACUCCAAGGACACUGGUCUAUGGCAGUGUCUUAGGCAAAAGCAGAAACUACGAAACUCCACAAAAGCAGACUGCCCCUCGACGACAUGCAGGGAAUGCUGACAAAGACUAGAAGUUCCACCACUCCCUUCCCAGUGCCCUUGCUCUAAGGGUGCCAUGUCCACAUUCCCAGGGACCCGAUGACACCCACAAGUGGCCCAGGCUGUGAUCCUAACAGGCCAUACCGAAGACACCCAGGAAAUGAGGCCCUUCUGCUCACACACAGGGCCGGGCCUGAGCACGACAAAUGGAAUGUGCUGUGCACAGCUUCCACGUACGAUUCGCCAGGCACCCACCGUGCUGCACACUGUCACGGGCGUUGGUUCACUCCGCCUUCACACCAGCCGGUGAAGUGGGUUCUGCCAUCACAGCUGCACAGUGGCAAACUGGGAUCCAGUCCAGGCCAGUGGGGUCCUUCCCAGCAGUGCCCCCGGGGCACAGGGAAAAGCAAGGCUAGGGUGGAACCUGAGCCGUCUCCUGUGUCCCAUCGAUGUAAUAAAGCGCUGGGCCCUC